This is a long non-coding RNA of Meleagris gallopavo (turkey), 1726 nucleotides long. NCBI's taxonomy places the organism in Eukaryota, Metazoa, Chordata, Aves, Galliformes, Phasianidae. The record is from Ensembl.
CUGUUAUUCAGAUAUAACAUUCUGGGGAGAGGCUGGGAUAGGUAACUUGGCUCUGGCAGCAAACUGAUGGGUUCCUAGCUGCAGUGCAAUCAGUGGGCCUGGGGAGCAGGGCACUUGAGCUGUGCUUUGUGGGGACUGGUGAUAGGUGUUCUUGAGAUAUUUUGGGUAGUGGUGGUAAUGUGAGCUUCAAAUCUUUUCAUUGAAAAUGAGGUCUGAGCUUUGAAUCAAGUGCAUCUGUCUGUAACUCCCUCCUUCUGUUGGUGACUCUUAAAUGCAGCAGGUUUGUUAGAUGUUAGUACCAUUCCUUUUCCUGUGCUGUUAGGGGGCACGUGAUCCGGUACGCCUCUGCUGAAAUACACUAUGUUUGAUGAGAAGGCAGUGCUUGAUAAUGCUAAAGGAGACAAAAUAAGGUGAUGCUACUGAUCAAAGGUCUUGCACCGUGUCAAGGCCUCCUAACACCUUACCAAAGGCUGAAGGAGAUGUGAUACCUCAGAACAGCUGGCUCUGCCCAAGGAUUUGGCAUCCACUGCUCCUCUUGAAGCCCAGGAGACCCGAGAGAAGUGCUGGAGGUACAACACAGCUGGAAGCUCGGCUCGCAGGCAGACACAAAAGUGGAACAGGAAAGCAGGAGAAAAGAAACGCUCCUUUGUCUCGUGGUUGAACUGGUUGCCCUUGCUGGGAUACAAGCAGUUCAUCUGGGCAGAGAAACCCACUGGCCCACUUGGCAUCCUGCGGCUCUUGGCACACGUUAAACAGGUCGGUAGGUGGUCUGGCACAGAGCUCUGGACGUGCUUUCUCACAAGGGUUCUUGCUUCGCAGGGGGAAAAACAGUUCAACGGAAAGAUCUUUUCUGCAGGGUUCAUCAAUGGCUUCAUGGCAGUCAGGGAAUGGUGUUCAGUGUGUUGCUGAACGCUAAAAAUGCUUUGAUUCUCCGAGGUGCUACAGUUCAUUUUGUUGGUACAGUCUUAUUUGGAAAUAAGGAAAUUUGUUCUGUCCCAGUGCUUUAUGCAGCAGUUUUGGUAGAGGAACUGUGGAUAUAGAGAUCGUGACAUUACUGGAUGAAAUAAUCCUGCUGGAGAUGUUAGGAAGGCUGACCAAGAGUCACUGUGCUCCUCUCUGCCUGGAUAUCUGUUUUGGCUCUGAGGACUGUGAAGCAUCUCGUUUGCUCACCCCAAAUCUUUGAAGGAGCUGAUUAUGCUGACAGUUAGUCUUACUAAUUGUUAUUAUAUCAUUGCUGCAGGAAUAGAUUAAUUCUUAUGUAAAGUAUGCCUGAUUUACACUCAGCUCUUAGAAGAACUUUUCGUUUCAAGUAGGGAUGUAGGUAGGAAAUAAGAGGAAGCCAGUAGAAAAUUCAGGAUGUGCUGGACAAAUUUGAGACGUAUUUUCUAUCAGUCUGAUGCUGUUUCUCAGCCCUUCUUUUUUGCACGGUUUGUUCUUGUAACAGCUGACCAUUACCUGAAAGGUAACAAUUUUCCUCUAUGAUCUUUCACUUAUGGGCACUGAGGGGACAUUGGGCCAUGACUGAGGCAGUGGCCAUGAUACGUUAUUGAAGCUGAUAGUUACAGCCUCAGCAGUGUCAUCAGCUGGAUCAGCAAAACUGACCCUACAAGGAAGAUGUGAAGUUUUAUGUCUUUCACUGGAGUUUAAUCUGUCAUAAUCUUACUCUUAUUUCUUCUCAGCGGUUUGAACUGCGACUUUUACUUGUAGUAAAGAUGGAUUAUCUGUG